AUGGACUUAUGGCGCAUUAGCUGGUUGGCGGGGUAACGGCCCACCAAGGCGACGAUGCGUAGCCGACCUGAGAGGGUGACCGGCCACACUGGGACUGAGACACGGCCCAGACUCCUACGGGAGGCAGCAGUAGGGAAUUUUCGGCAAUGGGGGAAACCCUGACCGAGCAACGCCGCGUGAAGGAAGAAGGUUUUCGGAUUGUAAACUUCUGUUAUAAAGGAAGAACGGCGGCUACAGGAAAUGGUAGCCGAGUGACGGUACUUUAUUAGAAAGCCACGGCUAACUACGUGCCAGCAGCCGCGGUAAUACGUAGGUGGCAAGCGUUAUCCGGAAUUAUUGGGCGUAAAGAGGGAGCAGGC
This 359-nucleotide ribosomal RNA is filed under the name uncultured bacterium. Its description in RNAcentral is "bacterial SSU rRNA". It matches the Rfam family "Bacterial small subunit ribosomal RNA", at positions 225 to 576 of the family's 1533-position model. The record is from RNAcentral.